This 472-nucleotide ribosomal RNA is filed under the name uncultured bacterium. Its description in RNAcentral is "partial 16S ribosomal RNA". It matches the Rfam family "Bacterial small subunit ribosomal RNA", at positions 355 to 819 of the family's 1533-position model. The record is from RNAcentral.
UAGGGAAUCUUCCACAAUGGACGCAAGUCUGAUGGAGCAACGCCGCGUGAGUGAAGAAGGUCUUCGGAUCGUAAAGCUCUGUUGUUGGUGAAGAAGGAUAGAGGCAGUAACUGGUCUUUAUUUGACGGUAAUCAACCAGAAAGUCACGGCUAACUACGUGCCAGCAGCCGCGGUAAUACGUAGGUGGCAAGCGUUGUCCGGAUUUAUUGGGCGUAAAGCGAGCGCAGGCGGAAUGAUAAGUCUGAUGUGAAAGCCCACGGCUCAACCGUGGAACUGCAUCGGAAACUGUCAUUCUUGAGUGCAGAAGAGGAGAGUGGAACUCCAUGUGUAGCGGUGGAAUGCGUAGAUAUAUGGAAGAACACCAGUGGCGAAGGCGGCUCUCUGGUCUGCAACUGACGCUGAGGCUCGAAAGCAUGGGUAGCGAACAGGAUUAGAUACCCUGGUAGUCCAUGCCGUAAACGAUGAGCGCUAG